GACGAACGCUGGCGGCGUGCUUAACACAUGCAAGUCGAACGAUGAAGCCUUUCGGGGUGGAUUAGUGGCGAACGGGUGAGUAACACGUGGGCAAUCUGCCCUUCACUCUGGGACAAGCCC
RNAcentral lists this ribosomal RNA (120 nucleotides) under uncultured bacterium. RNAcentral's name for it is "partial 16S ribosomal RNA". It matches the Rfam family "Bacterial small subunit ribosomal RNA", at positions 28 to 150 of the family's 1533-position model. The record is from RNAcentral.